RNAcentral lists this transfer RNA (71 nucleotides) under archaeon. RNAcentral's name for it is "tRNA-Ile". It matches the Rfam family "tRNA". Rfam says of the family: Transfer RNA (tRNA) molecules are approximately 80 nucleotides in length. Their secondary structure includes four short double-helical elements and three loops (D, anti-codon, and T loops). Further hydrogen bonds mediate the characteristic L-shaped molecular structure. tRNAs have two regions of fundamental functional importance: the anti-codon, which is responsible for specific mRNA codon recognition, and the 3' end, to which the tRNAs corresponding amino acid is attached (by aminoacyl-tRNA synthetases). tRNAs cope with the degeneracy of the genetic code in two manners: having more than one tRNA (with a specific anti-codon) for a particular amino acid; and 'wobble' base-pairing, i.e. permitting non-standard base-pairing at the 3rd anti-codon position. The record is from RNAcentral.
GGGCCUGUAGAUCAGUGGAAGAUCAUUAAUUUAUAAUCAAGAGGCCACGGGUUCAAUCCCCGUCAGGUCCA